RNAcentral lists this transfer RNA (63 nucleotides) under Rattus norvegicus (Norway rat). It matches the Rfam family "tRNA". Rfam says of the family: Transfer RNA (tRNA) molecules are approximately 80 nucleotides in length. Their secondary structure includes four short double-helical elements and three loops (D, anti-codon, and T loops). Lineage: Eukaryota; Metazoa; Chordata; Mammalia; Rodentia; Muridae. The record is from Rfam by way of RNAcentral.
GGGGACUUAGCUCAGUGGUAGAGCGCUUGCCUAGCAAGCACAAGGCCCUGGAUUUAGUCCCCA